UACGGAGGGUGCAAGCGUUAAUCGGAAUUACUGGGCGUAAAGCGCGCGUAGGCGGUUACAUAAGUUGGAGGUGAAAUCCCCGGGCUCAACCUGGGAACUGCUUUCAAAACUGUGUGACUAGAGUGCAGCAGAGGAUAGUGGAAUUUCUAGUGUAGCGGUGAAAUGCGUAGAGAUCUGGAGGAAUACCGGUGGCGAAGGCGGCCCCCUGGACAAAGACUGACGCUCAGGUGCGAAAGCGUGGGGAGCAAACAGG
This 253-nucleotide ribosomal RNA is filed under the name uncultured bacterium. Its description in RNAcentral is "partial 16S ribosomal RNA". It matches the Rfam family "Bacterial small subunit ribosomal RNA", at positions 524 to 776 of the family's 1533-position model. The record is from RNAcentral.